This 343-nucleotide ribosomal RNA is filed under the name uncultured Pseudomonadota bacterium. Its description in RNAcentral is "bacterial SSU rRNA". It matches the Rfam family "Bacterial small subunit ribosomal RNA", at positions 29 to 351 of the family's 1533-position model. Lineage: Bacteria; Pseudomonadati; Pseudomonadota. The record is from RNAcentral.
AAUGAACGCUGGCGGCGUGCUUAACACAUGCAAGUCGAACGAGAAAUCCUUGGCUUGCCAGGGAGAGUAAAGUGGCGCACGGGUGAGUAACGCGUGGGUAAUCUACCCUUGGAUUCAGGAUAACACUUCGAAAGGGGUGCUAAUACUGGAUAACAUCCUUUUGGUUUAGGCCGGAGGGAUCAAAGAUAGCCUCUAGAAGUAAGCUAUUGUUCAGGGAUGAGCCCGCGUACCAUUAGCUAGUUGGUGGGGUAAGAGCCCACCAAGGCGACGAUGGUUAGCUGGUCUGAGAGGAUGAUCAGCCACACUGGAACUGAAACACGGUCCAGACUCCUACGGGUGGCAG